RNAcentral lists this ribosomal RNA (429 nucleotides) under uncultured bacterium. RNAcentral describes it as "bacterial SSU rRNA". It matches the Rfam family "Bacterial small subunit ribosomal RNA", at positions 355 to 776 of the family's 1533-position model. The record is from RNAcentral.
UGGGGAAUUUUGGACAAUGGGCGAAAGCCUGAUCCAGCCAUACCGCGUGCGGGAAGAAGGCCUUCGGGUUGUAAACCGCUUUUGUCAGGGAAGAAAUCUUCUGGGCUAAUACCUCGGGAGGAUGACGGUACCUGAAGAAUAAGCACCGGCUAACUACGUGCCAGCAGCCGCGGUAAUACGUAGGGUGCAAGCGUUAAUCGGAAUUACUGGGCGUAAAGCGUGCGCAGGCGGUUCCAUAAGACAGAUGUGAAAUCCCCGGGCUCAACCUGGGAACUGCAUUUGUGACUGUGGAGCUAGAGUACGGUAGAGGGGGAUGGAAUUCCGCGUGUAGCAGUGAAAUGCGUAGAUAUGCGGAGGAACACCAAUGGCGAAGGCAAUCCCCUGGACCUGUACUGACGCUCAUGCACGAAAGCGUGGGGAGCAAACAGG